GGGUCACUGCUAUCGGGGUUCGAUUAAGCCAUGCGAGUCGAGAGGGUUCGGCCCUCGGCGUACUGCUCAGUAACACGUGGAUAACCUGCCCUAAGGAAGGGGAUAACCCCGGGAAACUGGGGAUAAUACCCUAUAGGUUACAGAUGCUGGAAUGCUCUGUAACUCAAAGUUCCGGCGCCUUAGGAUGGACCUGCGGCCGAUUAGGUUGUUGUUGGGGUAAUGGCCCAACAAGCCCGUAAUCGGUACGGGUUGUGGGAGCAAGAGCCCGGAGUUGGAUUCUGAGACACGAAUCCAGGCCCUACGGGGCGCAGCAGGCGCGAAAACUUUACAAUGCGGGCAACCGUGAUAAGGGAACCUCGAGUGCCUGUAUAUGCAGGCUGUCCAGGUGUCUAAAUAACACCUGAAGAAAGGGCCGGGCAAGACCGGUGCCAGCCGCCGCGGUAAUACCGGCGGCUCGAGUGGUGGCCGCUUUUAUUGGGCUUAAAGCGUUCGUAGCUGGGUUAUUAAGUCUCUUGGGAAAUCCGGCGGCUCAACCGUCGGGCGUCUAAGGGAUACUGGUAAUCUUGGAACCGGGAGAGGUGAGGGGUACUUCG
Molecule: ribosomal RNA, 593 nt
Filed under: uncultured archaeon
Lineage: Archaea
Description: bacterial SSU rRNA
Rfam family: Archaeal small subunit ribosomal RNA
Source: RNAcentral